CGUCCUACGGGGGGCAGCAGUGAGGAAUAUUGGUCAAUGGCCGAGAGGCUGAACCGGCCAAGUCGCGUGAGGGAAGACUGCCCUAUGGGUUGUAAACCUCUUUUGUCAGGGAGCAACGCCGGCUACGUGUAGCCGGACUGAGAGUACCUGAAGAAAAAGCAUCGGCUAACUCCGUGCCAGCAGCCGCGGUAAUACGGAGGAUGCGAGCGUUAUCCGGAUUUAUUGGGUUUAAAGGGUGCGUAGGCGGAAUGCCGAGUCAGCGGUAAAAUCGCGGGGCUCAACCUCGCUCCGCCGUUGAAACUGGC
RNAcentral lists this ribosomal RNA (305 nucleotides) under uncultured bacterium. RNAcentral describes it as "bacterial SSU rRNA". It matches the Rfam family "Bacterial small subunit ribosomal RNA", at positions 335 to 637 of the family's 1533-position model. The record is from RNAcentral.